CUCAAUAAAAAUGAGAGCGACGGGCGAUGUGUACAUAUCCUAGAACCAAUAUCAUUCAAACAAUCUUCAACAAAUUACCACCAAAUCCAACUUCAUAUAAAAAUUCCAAUUAAUAAUCCGAAAAUUCAUAAACAUAUUGUAAUCCACCUCACACUUAAAAACAAAUUGCACCUUGACCUGAAAUAAAUCAAAAUAAUGAAACUAGAAAAUUGAAUAACCCUAAAAAAAUCCUCAUUAUAACGGCGGUAUACAAACAAAAAUUAAGAAAGGUCCAGCGCGGAUUAUCGAUUAAGGGGCAGAUUCCUCUGGAAGGAGUAGAAUACCGCCAAAUCCUUUGGGUUUCAAGAACAUAACUAAUACUACCCAGGAAAAAGAUAAUUAACAUCAAAAAUAAUA
RNAcentral lists this ribosomal RNA (396 nucleotides) under Cryptotermes domesticus. Its description in RNAcentral is "partial 12S ribosomal RNA". Lineage: Eukaryota; Metazoa; Arthropoda; Insecta; Blattodea; Kalotermitidae. The record is from RNAcentral.